GUUAGUGUGGUGCAGCGGUUUGAGUGUUGGACUACAACUCUGGAGACCAGGGUUUGAAUCCCUUCUCUGCCA
Molecule: non-coding RNA, 72 nt
Organism: Phrynosoma platyrhinos (Desert horned lizard)
Lineage: Eukaryota; Metazoa; Chordata; Lepidosauria; Squamata; Phrynosomatidae
Source: the annotation of a GenBank genome assembly